Molecule: long non-coding RNA, 511 nt
Organism: Chrysemys picta bellii (western painted turtle)
Lineage: Eukaryota; Metazoa; Chordata; Testudines; Emydidae
Source: RefSeq, a predicted model, not a curated record
CACCACAUCUCCAAAGUAUGCACAGCUUGCAAGAGGAGCUCAAAAAGAGAACAAGCCAGUUCAGUAGGCUGCAGACAGUGGAGGUGAACUGAUCUACACCCUGAGAGCCUGGGAAGAAGAGCACUGCAGGAGCACACAGGGAAGAGACUGGUGAUUCUCAGAAGGCCUGAAACUUUAUCUUUGAUUCCAGCAUCCCUGACCACAGGACCAGAGGGACCAUCAACAGAGGGGCACCAGGAAAGAAGAGAACCUGCCACAGUAUGCUCGGCCACUGGGCGGUGCUUGCCAUCUCAGGAUUUUGGGAAAUGCUGCUGAGAUGGCAUAUGGACAGCCAUGCCAACUCCCAAAAAAGUGAAUCCUUUGUAUGUCCAGGUCUCUCAGUGUCUAUACUGACUAACCAAUGAUUUUGUUGUUGUUGUUGUUCUUUAUGAUGUUUAGGUGAAUAUCUUAAAAAUAAUUGUUCAGGUCACAAAUGCAUAUUUUGAAAACAUAUAAAGUAGUUUAUUUUGCA